AGAUUAGCUUGAAUGUAAUGCUUAGUAGGAAAUUUUUGGAUUUAGCAUCUCUUGAUUUAAUACUCAAUAAAAUAAGCAGUGUUCUUGUAUAAAAAGAAAAAGAAAAUUUCGUAGAAAAAAAAAAAAAAAACAAACCCAAUUAAUUCGUUAGUAGGUGGCAGGCACACAAAAUCAAACAAACAAACCCAUAACAAACUUCCCACAAAAUCAAUCACCGUACUAGAAAUUCUCCAUUGAAGCGUACUCGAAAUUCUCCAUUAAAGCGUACUCGAAAUUCAUAUACUCAAUUUAGGGUGGUUUCGGUGGUGGUGCAGGGGGAGGGGGUGGCUGUCGGGGCUGGGCUGGGGGCUCUGGGUCUGGGGCCUGGGGAGUGGCUGUCGGGCUCAUGGGUUGGGUCAGACACUCAGGUUGUUGAUAUUCGGUGCGAUAAAGUCACGAUAUUCAGUGCAGAAAUAGAAAAACACAAUACCCAGCUUCAUGAGAUGUUAAGAGUUUUCUAUUAGCCAGCCACACGCAAUAGCAUGUAGCCACCAGCCUGGAAAGCUGCAGGCAUUUUCCAGCUCUAGCAGCAGGCAGCCGCAUGCAGCCGCAUGCAGCAGGCAGUAGACAGCAGAAUACCGCAGGCAGCAGCUUGUCGAUAUUGGAAUAAUAUCAUUCAAGCUUAAAUCUGCCCAAAGGAGCAUAUAUACAAACCAGGUGAUCUAACAGCCAGCCACCCGCAGCAGCAGGCAGCAGAAAGCCGACAGUCGCAGCAGCAGCAGGCAGCAGGAAGCCGACAGCCGCAGCAGCAGCUAGCAGCCAGCAGCAGGCAGCUGCUACCCACCACCAGCAGGUAGCUUAGUCAUUAGCCACUAGCAGCAGUUAGCACCGUGCAGCCAACAGCUAGCAGCCAGCAUCUAGCAGCCUCCAGCAGGCAGCAGUUAGCCGCCACCAGCAGGCAUUCGCCAUCUGCAGCAACAGCUAGCCGCUGGCAGCAAAUAAUCACCAGCCGCAGGCAGUCGCAAGCUACAGGCAGCAGCAGCAACUCAGGCUUGGAAUCAUUACGGGGUUUCAGAAACUGAUUUUGGUGCUGUACCCACGAGAGCGUCAGACUGGUAUAAACGACCAGUUAUUGUUUCUUUUUAGUUUUGGAGAAAAGCUCAUUUCAUAUCAUCUGAAAGUAGCAUGUGCAGGUGUUUCAGGAGGAUCUUCAGAGAUUCCAAAAGCAGUUUGUGCAUAGUUGAAUGACCCCUGCUUCCGGCUAGUAGCAGAAUUCUCAAGAAGUCUUAAGAACUAGCAAGCAACAUAGCAUAAUUUUGAGCUUUUGACAUAGCUACACGAGGUUAGUUAACGAGGUGGGGUAGCUCUCGCAGAGGCGCCUAAGGAAGAAAAGAAGCUAAAGGAGGGAAGUGACGAUGAGGAUAUGGGUUUCUCACUCUUUGACUUACAUCUUUUUAUUAGUAUGUCAGUAUGUUAUGAUGUGUUCCAAAGCAAUAUAAUUUUGUUUAGAUGUUUGGUAAUUAGUAUACUGGAUGAACUUUGUUAUGAGUUUUGUCGGGAACUGGUAAUGCAGUUCUUAGCAUAUUUUUCAAUAGUAUUGUCUGAAUUCUUUUGAUGAUUA
Chenopodium quinoa (quinoa) is the source of this 1600-nucleotide long non-coding RNA. RefSeq lists it as uncharacterized. The transcript has 7 exons. The record is from RefSeq and is a predicted model, not a curated record. Lineage: Eukaryota; Viridiplantae; Streptophyta; Magnoliopsida; Caryophyllales; Amaranthaceae.